CCAGACUCCUACGGGAGGCAGCAGUGGGGGAUAUUGCACAAUGGGGGGAACCCUGAUGCAGCGACGCCGCGUGGGUGAAGAAGCGCCUCGGCGCGUAAAGCCCUAUCGGCAGGGAAGAAGGAGGACGGUACCUGACUAAGAAGCCCCGGCUAACUACGUGCCAGCAGCCGCGGUAAUACGUAGGGGGCGAGCGUUAUCCGGAUUCACUGGGUGUAAAGGGAGCGUAGACGGCGACGCAAGUCUGGAGUGAAAGCCCGGGGCCCAACCCCGGGACUGCUCUGGAAACUGCGGCGCUGGAGUACGGGAGGGGCAGGCGGAAUUCCUGGUGUAGCGGUGAAAUGCGUAGAUAUCAGGAGGAACACCGGCGGCGAAGGCGGCCUGCUGGACCGUGACUGACGUUGAGGCUCGAGAGCGUGGGGAGCAAACAGGAUUAGAUACCCGCGUAAA
RNAcentral lists this ribosomal RNA (447 nucleotides) under uncultured bacterium. RNAcentral describes it as "partial 16S ribosomal RNA". It matches the Rfam family "Bacterial small subunit ribosomal RNA", at positions 331 to 794 of the family's 1533-position model. The record is from RNAcentral.